This 2923-nucleotide ribosomal RNA is filed under the name Lactiplantibacillus plantarum. Its description in RNAcentral is "bacterial LSU rRNA". It matches the Rfam family "Bacterial large subunit ribosomal RNA". The record is from RNAcentral. Lineage: Bacteria; Bacillati; Bacillota; Bacilli; Lactobacillales; Lactobacillaceae.
AGGUUAAGUUAACAAGGGCGCAUGGUGAAUGCCUUGGCACUAGGAGCCGAUGAAGGACGGGACUAACACCGAUAUGCUUCGGGGAGCUGUACGUAAGCUAUGAUCCGGAGAUUUCCGAAUGGGGCAACCCAGCAGUUUUAAUCAACUGUUACCACUAGAUGAAUUCAUAGUCUAGUUGGAGGUAAACGCUGUGAACUGAAACAUCUCAUUAGCAGCAGGAAUAUAAAGAAAUUUCGAUUCCCUAAGUAGCGGCGAGCGAACGGGGAACAGCCCAAACCAAAGUGCUUGCACUUUGGGGUUGUAGGACUGAACAUUUGAGUUACCAAAGAACUUGAUAGUCGAAGGAUUUGGGAAAAUCCGCCAUAGAUGGUGAUAGCCCAGUAGAUUAAAUCAAAUUCUCUCAGUUCAGGAUCCUGAGUACGGCGGAACACGUGAAAUUCCGUCGGAAUCCGGGAGGACCAUCUCCCAAGGCUAAAUACUACCUAGUGACCGAUAGUGAACCAGUACCGUGAGGGAAAGGUGAAAAGCACCCCGGGAGGGGAGUGAAAUAGUUCCUGAAACCAUGUGCCUACAAUAAGUCAGAGCGCGUUAAUGCGUGAUGGCGUGCCUUUUGUAGAAUGAACCGGCGAGUUAUGAUCCCGUGCAAGGUUAAGACUAAAAAGUCGGAGCCGUAGCGAAAGCGAGUCUGAAAUGGGCGUUUUGAGUACGAGGUUAUAGACCCGAAACCAGGUGACCUAUCCAUGUCCAGGUUGAAGGUGCGGUAAAACGCACUGGAGGACCGAACCCGUGUAAGUUGAAAAUUGCUGGGAUGAGGUGUGGAUAGCGGUGAAAUUCCAAACGAACUUGGAGAUAGCUGGUUCUCUCCGAAAUAGCUUUAGGGCUAGCCUCGGAAUUAGGAUCAUGGAGGUAGAGCACUAUUUGGACUAGGGGCCCGUCUUGGGUUACUGAAUUCAGAUAAACUCCGAAUGCCAUUGAUUCAUAUCCGGGAGUCAGACGAUGAGUGAUAAGAUCCACCGUCGAAAGGGGAACAGCCCAGACCAUCAGUUAAGGUCCCUAAAUGUAUGCUAAGUGGAAAAGGAUGUGGAGUUGCAUAGACAACUAGGAUGUUGGCUCAGAAGCAGCCACCAUUUAAAGAGUGCGUAAUAGCUCACUAGUCGAGUGAUCCUGCGCCGAAAAUGUACCGGGGCUAAGCAUACUACCGAAACCAUGGAUGCGACCAUUAGGUCGCGUGAUAGGAGAGCGUUCUAAGGGCGGUGAAGCAAGAUCGUGAGGACUUGUGGAGCGCUUAGAAGUGAGAAUGCCGGUAUGAGUAGCGAAAGAUAGGUGAGAAUCCUAUCCACCGAAUGACUAAGGUUUCCUGGGGAAGGCUCGUCCUCCCAGGGUUAGUCGGGACCUAAGUCGAGGCCGAGAGGCGUAGACGAUGGAUAACAGGUUGAGAUUCCUGUACUAGUUAAGUGCGUUUGAGCAAUGGAGGGACGCAGGAGGCUAAGAUGUGCAUUCUGUUGGAUUAGAAUGUCCAAGCAGUAAGUCUUGUGAAGAGUCAAAUGCUUUUCACUUUAAGGACAAGCUGUGAUGGGGAGCGAAAUUUAGUAGCGAAGCGUCUGAUGUCACACUGCCAAGAAAAGCUUCUAGUGAGUACUUAACUACCCGUACCGCAAACCGACACAGGUAGUCGAGGAGAGAAUCCUAAGGUGAGCGAGUGAACUCUCGUUAAGGAACUCGGCAAAAUGACCCCGUAACUUCGGGAGAAGGGGUGCUGAUCGCAAGAUCAGCCGCAGUGAAUAGGCCCAGGCGACUGUUUAUCAAAAACACAGGUCUCUGCAAAAUCGUAAGAUGACGUAUAGGGGCUGACGCCUGCCCGGUGCUGGAAGGUUAAAAGGAUGGGUUAGCUUCGGCGAAGCUCAGAAUUGAAGCCCCAGUAAACGGCGGCCGUAACUAUAACGGUCCUAAGGUAGCGAAAUUCCUUGUCGGGUAAGUUCCGACCCGCACGAAAGGCGUAACGAUCUGGGCACUGUCUCAACGAGAGACUCGGUGAAAUUAUAUUGUCCGUGAAGAUGCGGACUACCCGCGACAGGACGGAAAGACCCCAUGGAGCUUUACUGUAGCUUGAUAUUGAGUGUUUGUACAGCUUGUACAGGAUAGGUAGGAGCCAUAGAAACCGGAACGCUAGUUUCGGUGGAGGCGUUGGUGGGAUACUACCCUCGCUGUAUGACCACUCUAACCCGCACCACUAAUCGUGGUGGGAGACAGUGUCAGGUGGGCAGUUUGACUGGGGCGGUCGCCUCCUAAAAAGUAACGGAGGCGCCCAAAGGUUCCCUCAGAAUGGUUGGAAAUCAUUCGCAGAGUGUAAAGGCACAAGGGAGCUUGACUGCGAGACAGACAGGUCGAGCAGGGACGAAAGUCGGGCUUAGUGAUCCGGUGGUACCGUAUGGAAGGGCCAUCGCUCAACGGAUAAAAGCUACCCUGGGGAUAACAGGCUUAUCUCCCCCAAGAGUCCACAUCGACGGGGAGGUUUGGCACCUCGAUGUCGGCUCAUCGCAUCCUGGGGCUGUAGUCGGUCCCAAGGGUUGGGCUGUUCGCCCAUUAAAGCGGUACGCGAGCUGGGUUCAGAACGUCGUGAGACAGUUCGGUCCCUAUCCGUCGCGGGCGUAGGAAAUUUGAGAGGACCUGUCCUUAGUACGAGAGGACCGGGAUGGACAUACCUCUGGUGUACCAGUUGUGCCGCCAGGCGCAUCGCUGGGUAGCUACGUAUGGAUGUGAUAAACGCUGAAAGCAUCUAAGUGUGAAACACACCUCGAGAUGAGAUUUCCCAUUCCUUUAUGGAAGUAAGACCCCUGAAAGAUGAUCAGGUAGAUAGGUUAGAAGUGGCAGUGCGGUGACGCAUGAAGCGGACUAAUACUAAUCGGUCGAGGACUUAACCAAG